GCCGGUGUUUGGGCUCAACCUCCUGUGCCUACUGAGCUGAAAACAGUCGGAUAUCAGACACUGGCUCAGUUCAGCAGGAACCGGAGUUAGGCCUUCUAGAGACAGCA
Molecule: microRNA precursor, 107 nt
Filed under: Tetraodon nigroviridis (spotted green pufferfish)
Lineage: Eukaryota; Metazoa; Chordata; Actinopteri; Tetraodontiformes; Tetraodontidae
Description: miRNA (ENSTNIG00000020094.1)
Rfam family: mir-24 microRNA precursor family (bases 18-86)
About the family: This family represents the microRNA (miRNA) mir-24 family. miRNAs are transcribed as ~70nt precursors (modelled here) and subsequently processed by the Dicer enzyme to give a ~22nt product. In this case the mature sequence comes from the 3' arm of the precursor. The extents of the hairpin precursors are not generally known and are estimated based on hairpin prediction.
Source: RNAcentral